ACAGGCCACCAGACGGUCGCGUUCGGACCGCGUGUCCGGCCGAGGAAAGUCCGGGCUCCGCAGAGCACGGUGGUGGCUAACAGCCACCCGGGGAAACCCGCGGGAAAGUGCCGCAGAAAGCUAAACCGCCAGCCUGCUGGUAAGGGUGAAAAGGUGGUGUAAGAGACCACCAGGGCCCGCGGUGACGCGGGCCGCUGGGUAAACCCCACCGGGAGCAAGAUCGUGCAGACGGCCACACGGCUGCUCGUCGUGCCGUCGGGUGGAUUGCUUGAGGCCUGCAGCAAUGCAGGUCCUAGACAGAUGACCGUCGCUCAGGCUUCGGCCUGAGAACAGAACCCGGCUUAUCGGUGGCCUGUCCCC
This 360-nucleotide RNase P RNA is filed under the name Brevibacterium sp. HMSC063G07. RNAcentral's name for it is "RNase P RNA component class A". It matches the Rfam family "Bacterial RNase P class A". Rfam says of the family: Ribonuclease P (RNase P) is a ubiquitous endoribonuclease, found in archaea, bacteria and eukarya as well as chloroplasts and mitochondria. Its best characterised activity is the generation of mature 5'-ends of tRNAs by cleaving the 5'-leader elements of precursor-tRNAs. Cellular RNase Ps are ribonucleoproteins. Lineage: Bacteria; Bacillati; Actinomycetota; Actinomycetes; Micrococcales; Brevibacteriaceae. The record is from RNAcentral.